RNAcentral lists this transfer RNA (32 nucleotides) under Aquila fasciata. RNAcentral describes it as "Hieraaetus fasciatus partial tRNA-Thr". RNAcentral also lists the same sequence under 1 other name. Lineage: Eukaryota; Metazoa; Chordata; Aves; Accipitriformes; Accipitridae. The record is from RNAcentral.
AAAGACUGAAGACUGUCCCCCUUCUUAGAGUU